CAAGAUGGCCUGACCACUCCUGACAGGACCAUUGAUUCAACACCGUGAAACAAACAAAUCAAAAAUAGCAUGCGGAAAACAACCAAGAUGGGAUUUCACUCACUGGUCAUCCUUUCUGACAGAUUUCCUCAUCUUAUUAUUUCCCCACUGGAGCCUAAGCGCUGCACCUGCCAAUGAUUUCAAAAAGGUAAAUGUUUUUCAAAGCUUGUAUAUCAAAAUGCUUCAUUUAAUAUUAGGUACUAAUUUAAUUUAACAUAAGGUGAUAGUUCAACCAAACAUGACAAUUAUAUAUUCACCCUGAUAUAAUUUCAAACUUGUGUAACUGUAGUUUUUACUGCAUUUUUAAAGAUUUUUUAAAGAAAAAAAUGCAUUUUUAAAGAAUGAUGAAGAAUAAUUCUGAUAAAAAUUAGCAUUUUCUGUUCAGUAACACUAAUUAUAGCAAUAAUAAGUUAUUAAAGUCACGCAUGCUUUGCUAUAUAUUGAUCAUGUGGUGUAAACAACACAUUUAAGCAAACACCAAAAAUGUGCCAUUUCUCAUCAUGUCAAUGUGAGCAUGAUUCUGUCAUGUUUGAAAGAUGCUCCUGAAGUCUCCUGUGUUUGUCUCCCGCUGUCAUCUCGAUGCUGAGGCCCAGCAAGCUGGCAGGGGCUGACCCUGAGGUGCUGGGAAUUGUGGGUAGUGGGAUUACCUAUGGUGGCAUAGUCUUGUGCUUCCUCUGUGAGACUGGCUGGGCUGAGCAGAUGGCAGUGGCCUGGCAGUCACAGCAUGGAGGCCUCUCAAGUGACAAGAAGGUUCCUUUUUUUCCUUCUGGAGCACAUUAGAAAAAAUUACAGUGCUGACAUUUCUUCAUUAAUCAUGGCGGCCGGUGGUGGCAGCGAGUGGCGCGGAGCCUUGGCAGACGCGAGUGUCCCCGUUGUGCUGGCAGCCGCGCCCCAGACGCCAGCCUUUCAAUGCCACAGCUGUUGCUGCCAUCAGCCUCACAAACAUCUGACACCCACCCCAGAUCAGCCCAGUCCACACCGGCUUCCUGUGCAUCCCAGAAGGGCUGAGGCCUGGUCUGGUGCAGCCCAUGUCCGCAUGGAUGGAUGGAUAGAUGGAUGGAUGGAUGGAUGACCUGAAUGGAUGGAUUAUGUGAUGUGGUAUUCCUCAAGGCCAAAGUGGGGCGUCGCUCCUCAGAGAGAGUCUACUUGCCUCAGUCUGGGCUGAUGUCUGAGAAAUGAAGAGCUGCAGGGUGUUGUAUUAAUUAAUCUUUUUCAUUUCUAUUAUAAUUCCACACAAGCUAUUACGCAUUAUUUAACAUUUAUUUUGUUUGACUAUUUUGAAAUUUAAUUGAACUUUAUUGAUGCUUGCAGAUAAAAAGAAAAAAAAGACAAUAAACCAGCGUUUGUUUCAAUGUUAACAAAGAUAUCAAGAUAAGAUCAGACAAAAGUAUUUCUUAUUCUCUAUUAAAUACGUUCUAGUGUUAUGUUAUGUUAUGUUAUGUUAUGUUAUGUUAUGUUAUGUUAUGUUAUGUUAUGUUAUGUUAUGUGUUUGUACACACCCCUCACCAAAUGCACCCCAUGCAUGGGUAGCAAACGUCUAGCUAUACGAGUCUUGGUAUAUGAGUCACUGGCUAGAGGCUGAGGUGCUCAUACCACCACUUAGCUCUGUGUCCCGCCAUAUGGUGGAGACCGCUGGGACUACAUGGGGAAUCAGGCCAGACUGCUCUCCGAAGAACCCAACACCCCCCCAUUUCUUAUUCCCCUCUUAUUCUCACACACACAUAAAUGCACACUUCUAUAUGUGAGAGGCAAGACCUCCAUUCUUAGAGUCAGAGAAAGUAGGACAGGUUGAAGUAGUGUAGCGAGCACAGACCCAGAUGUGACACACACACACACUCAUACAUUAGACAUCCACCCCAGCCUCUUCCUAUGACACUCACAGCAGAGUUAUUCCCCCCUAGCAUCUCCUUAUGACCACUUUACAGCAGUUUCCCCUCUGCCCUCCCACACCUGCCUCUCCCAACAUACCCACCCCCUAUUUAUAGACUAUACCAUCCUAUUCUGCAUCACAUGGCUUCAUAUAGUUUCUUAAAGAGCAGUGUGUCACUUUCUUAAUGUACAGUUAUAUUGUCCAAGUAGUACAAUAUACACUACCUUUCAAGUUUGGAGGCAGUUUUUUUUUUUUUUUUUUUAAAGAGAUUAAUACUUUUAUUCAUCAAGGAUGCAUUAAAGUGACAGUAAAAUACAUUUACACUGGUGCAAAAGUUUUCUAUUUCAAAUAAAUACUGUUUGUUUUAAUAACUUUGAUUACAUGUUUCUUGAGCACCUAAUCAGCAUACAGUAUUACAAUGAUUUCUG
This is a long non-coding RNA of Cyprinus carpio carpio, 2337 nucleotides long. Lineage: Eukaryota; Metazoa; Chordata; Actinopteri; Cypriniformes; Cyprinidae. The record is from Ensembl.